CAGCCGCCGCGGUAAUACAGAGGGUGCAAGCGUUAAUCGGAUUUACUGGGCGUAAAGGGCGCGUAGGUGGUUAUUUAAGUGAGAUGUGAAAGCCCCGGGCUUAACCUGGGAACUGCAUCUUAUACUGGGUAACUGGAGUGCAGUAGAGGGUAGUGGAAUUUCCGGUGUAGCGGUGAAAUGCGUAGAUAUCGGAAGGAACACCAGUGGCGAAGGCGGCUACCUGGUCUGUAACUGACGCUGAGGAGCGAAAGCGUGGGGAGCGAACAGGAUUAGAUACCCCCGUAGUCCCUGUCUCUUAUAC
RNAcentral lists this ribosomal RNA (301 nucleotides) under uncultured bacterium. RNAcentral describes it as "partial 16S ribosomal RNA". It matches the Rfam family "Bacterial small subunit ribosomal RNA", at positions 509 to 807 of the family's 1533-position model. The record is from RNAcentral.